This 251-nucleotide ribosomal RNA is filed under the name uncultured Oscillibacter sp. RNAcentral's name for it is "partial 16S ribosomal RNA". It matches the Rfam family "Bacterial small subunit ribosomal RNA", at positions 88 to 339 of the family's 1533-position model. The record is from RNAcentral. Lineage: Bacteria; Bacillati; Bacillota; Clostridia; Eubacteriales; Oscillospiraceae.
GAGGAAAGUGGCGGACGGGUGAGUAACGCGUGAGGAACCUGCCUUGAAGAGGGGGACAACAGUUGGAAACGACUGCUAAUACCGCAUGACGCAUAGAGGUCGCAUGAUCUUUAUGCCAAAGAUUUAUCGCUUCAAGAUGGCCUCGCGUCUGAUUAGCUAGUUGGCGGGGUAACGGCCCACCAAGGCGACGAUCAGUAGCCGGACUGAGAGGUUGAACGGCCACAUUGGGACUGAGAUACGGCCCAGACUCC